Bos taurus (domestic cattle) is the source of this 750-nucleotide long non-coding RNA. Lineage: Eukaryota; Metazoa; Chordata; Mammalia; Artiodactyla; Bovidae. The record is from Ensembl.
GAAGAUGAGCUCCAGGAGAUCUUACCAAUCCCUCCAGGCCAUUCUUAGGCACAUACAAUUUGGAAACUACUGGCCUGGGCCUUUUCUCCUGAUUUCCUGAUUGACAGCAUAGGGGCUAUCAAUCUUGGUUACACAGAUGCAGUCCAGCACCAAGGCUGGGAUUGGACCCAGGGAUCAGGUAUUUUAAGGCUCCCCAGGUAAUUUCAAUGUGCAGCCAAGCCUGAGACCCACUGAUUUGGAGCAAGAAUUUGAAUGAAGCAUUGUCCUCUGUAGGUUCUGGUCCCUCAAGAGAAGUUCUGAGCACACUUGUCCCUCGUACCCAUUCACCUACUGCUACCACUAUACAGUCGUUAACGUUGCUGAAAUCACUGACUAAAGGCAAGCAUCUCACCUGCUACUUAACAUUGGAGACAGCAUGGUGUUUCUUCAGCUAGGCAGGCGAGGGUGGAGAAGAAAAAAGAAUCUAUUCUUUCCCCCAGUCUCCUGCAAACUGUACUGCAAGAAAGCUGGUUCCUUCAUGUGAAGGCGGCCAUGGCUACCAGCAGCCCCAAAGGCACACCCUGUUAACAAUAAUGAGAAGAGACGCUUAACCUAUAUCAGGCACAAUUCUAGGCACUUCAGAGCCUGUGAGGCAACAAGAAAGAGAGAACAUGCUCUCCACUUCAAAUUUAGAAAAUCCAUAGACAAGCUCUAAAUUGAGCCAGCUUGGGUCACGUAUCCACCUGCUGAAAUAAUCACUGGGUCUAGAAC